GGAUGUGAAGGCGAUUUAGCUCUGGCAUCUGUCACCCCAUUGAUUGCCAGAGUUGAUUCACCUGGACUGGAUGACUACGCAGGGGUCCCCUUCCUCCAUCACUGCUCAAUGUGCAUCUCUCCAGAAGCUGUGUGCAAGAUCAAAGAGAAUGGCCUUCCCGGAAUAGAGGAGGUCCAGUCUUCUGUCAAGGGUAUACAAGCAGCUGUGCUCCUCUGUUAGAACCUCCAAACAAGCUCUCUAGAAUAGCAAUAAUGGCUGACAUCUGUGGCGAACUGGAAUAUUAUAGACCCAGAACUAAAAUCUUCUUGUGCUAACUUGAGUUCCCUU
Unclassified non-coding RNA from Mesocricetus auratus (golden hamster), 327 nucleotides. Its record names the gene 7SK. It matches the Rfam family "7SK RNA". From Rfam's summary of the family: 7SK was discovered as an abundant small nuclear RNA in the mid-70s but a possible function has only recently been suggested. Two independent studies have found that 7SK RNA binds the CDK9/cyclin T complex (known as elongation factor P-TEFb). NCBI's taxonomy places the organism in Eukaryota, Metazoa, Chordata, Mammalia, Rodentia, Cricetidae. The record is from Ensembl.